UACUCUUGACAUCCAGAGAACUUAGCAGAGAUGCUUUGGUGCCUUCGGGAACUCUGAGACAGGUGCUGCAUGGCUGUCGUCAGCUCGUGUUGUGAAAUGUUGGGUUAAGUCCCGCAACGAGCGCAACCCUUAUCCUUUGUUGCCAGCGGUUCGGCCGGGAACUCAAAGGAGACUGCCAGUGAUAAACUGGAGGAAGGUGGGGAUGACGUCAAGUCAUCAUGGCCCUUACGAGUAGGGCUACACACGUGCUACAAUGGCGCAUACAAAGAGAAGCGACCUCGCGAGAGCAAGCGGACCUCAUAAAGUGCGUCGUAGUCCGGAUCGGAGUCUGCAACUCGACUCCGUGAAGUCGGAAUCGCUAGUAAUCGUAGAUCAGAAUGCUACGGUGAAUACGUUCCCGGGCCUU
RNAcentral lists this ribosomal RNA (406 nucleotides) under uncultured Enterobacter sp. RNAcentral describes it as "bacterial SSU rRNA". It matches the Rfam family "Bacterial small subunit ribosomal RNA", at positions 976 to 1382 of the family's 1533-position model. Lineage: Bacteria; Pseudomonadati; Pseudomonadota; Gammaproteobacteria; Enterobacterales; Enterobacteriaceae. The record is from RNAcentral.